UACGCAGGGGGCUAGCGUUGUUCGGAUUUACUGGGCGUAAAGCGCACGUAGGCGGACUAUUAAGUCAGGGGUGAAAUCCCGGGGCUCAACCCCGGAACUGCCUUUGAUACUGGUAGUCUUGAGUUCGAGAGAGGUGAGUGGAAUUCCGAGUGUAGAGGUGAAAUUCGUAGAUAUUCGGAGGAACACCAGUGGCGAAGGCGGCUCACUGGCUCGAUACUGACGCUGAGGUGCGAAAGCGUGGGGAGCAAACAGG
Molecule: ribosomal RNA, 253 nt
Filed under: uncultured bacterium
Lineage: Bacteria
Description: partial 16S ribosomal RNA
Rfam family: Bacterial small subunit ribosomal RNA
Source: RNAcentral